GACGAACGCUGGCGGCGUGCUUAACACAUGCAAGUCGAACGGAAAGGCCCUGCUUUUGUGGGGUGCUCGAGUGGCGAACGGGUGAGUAACACGUGAGUAACCUGCCCUUGACUUUGGGAUAACUUCAGGAAACUGGGGCUAAUACCGGAUAGGAGCUCCUGCUGCAUGGUGGGGGUUGGAAAGUUUCGGCGGUUGUGGAUGGACUCGCGGCUUAUCAGCCUGUUGGUGGGGUAGUGGCUUACCAAGGCUUUGAAGGGUAGCCGGCCUGAGAGGGUGACCGGCCACAUUGGGACUGAGAUACGGCCCAGACUCCUACGGGAGGCAGCAGUGGGGAAUAUUGCACAAUGGGCGGACGCCUGAUGCAGCAACGCCGCGUGCGGGAUGACGGCCUUCGGGUUGUAAACCGCUUUCGCCUGUGACGAAGCGUGAGUGACGGUAAUGGGUAAAGAAGCACCGGCUAACUACGUG
Molecule: ribosomal RNA, 468 nt
Filed under: uncultured bacterium
Lineage: Bacteria
Description: partial 16S ribosomal RNA
Rfam family: Bacterial small subunit ribosomal RNA
Source: RNAcentral